AGCAUGAGCCUCAACACUUGGCCAGCAAGUAAAGAAAAAAAGAAUUGAGUUUAUGGAAAUAAACCCAAUCCCUAUUCUUUUGCCUUAGAAGCCAUCAGCGUGUUUCCAACAAGGAUAAAGGACUUUUGCUGAGGACAGUUGCAGGCUGCUGUGUGUUGCUUUGCUGCCAGAUUGAACAGUUCCUCAGGAAAGCACUUGGCCCCAGAGGCAAGACCAAAGUGAUGCUUUGCAGUCCCUGGUGUGAGCUGGAAGUGGCUGGCACAGGGAGGACUUCCAUAAAAAACAAAACCACGACAGUCAGGGUUUGUCAUGAGCACAGUGCAGCCACCUGCAAGAAUCUCCAGAAGAUGAAAAGCUGGUGCAUGACUAGAGGAUCCUUUCAUGAAAUGCAAGCAAAAUUAAUAGGUGGAUUUUGUUUUGAGCUUUUGAAACAUUUCAAAAUUCCCAGUUCUGACAAAAUUUCAAAUGGAAGUUUCAGAUGUCUCCUCCUCACUUAUGUUUCUCUUCAGUCUUCUCUCCCUCUUACACCAUGGUUUUUAGUGUUAUUAACAUGUAAAUUAGUCUUAUUUACAGAAAAUAACAUCUUGACAAGUUGACAAGUGUUGUGUAUGACAAGAGUUUGGUCUGGGAGGCGUUUCUGUUUCUACAGUUGCUAUUGUUCCCUGGGAUGGAAAUGUAGCUGUGCACACAGCGGUGGUCUGGGUGCUUACGCUGCAUUUAGCCCCAGUUCACUUGGAAAUAUACAGCUGGGAUACCGUGCUGGGUGCAGUCAUCGGUGUCUGUGCAGGGUCUCUCCAGGUCCUACCAAAGGCAGCAGAUGAUUUGCUUUGUUGCUGCUACUGAAAUCAGGUUUGGACCUGCAUGUUGCAUAGCAACCCUAAAUUAUUAUAAGAACCCUCAAAAGGGUAUUAAUGCUACUCAUGAAUAAAUACAGUUUGUCUCAUGCCUGUUUAUGAAUU
This 959-nucleotide long non-coding RNA is filed under the name Calidris pygmaea (Spoon-billed sandpiper). Its description in RNAcentral is "lncRNA (ENSCPGG00000010071.1)". Lineage: Eukaryota; Metazoa; Chordata; Aves; Charadriiformes; Scolopacidae. The record is from RNAcentral.